RNAcentral lists this transfer RNA (71 nucleotides) under uncultured Eubacterium sp. It matches the Rfam family "tRNA". Rfam says of the family: Transfer RNA (tRNA) molecules are approximately 80 nucleotides in length. Their secondary structure includes four short double-helical elements and three loops (D, anti-codon, and T loops). Further hydrogen bonds mediate the characteristic L-shaped molecular structure. tRNAs have two regions of fundamental functional importance: the anti-codon, which is responsible for specific mRNA codon recognition, and the 3' end, to which the tRNAs corresponding amino acid is attached (by aminoacyl-tRNA synthetases). tRNAs cope with the degeneracy of the genetic code in two manners: having more than one tRNA (with a specific anti-codon) for a particular amino acid; and 'wobble' base-pairing, i.e. permitting non-standard base-pairing at the 3rd anti-codon position. Lineage: Bacteria; Bacillati; Bacillota; Clostridia; Eubacteriales; Eubacteriaceae. The record is from RNAcentral.
GAUGUAUAGCUUAGUUGGCAGAGCAGGACACUCUUAAUGUCAAGGUCGGGGGUUCAAAUCCCUCUACAUCC